RNAcentral lists this ribosomal RNA (273 nucleotides) under uncultured bacterium. RNAcentral describes it as "partial 16S ribosomal RNA". It matches the Rfam family "Bacterial small subunit ribosomal RNA", at positions 523 to 796 of the family's 1533-position model. The record is from RNAcentral.
CUACGGAGGUGCAAACGUUGCUCGGAAUCAUUGGGCGUAAAGCACACGUAGGCGGCCAAGUAAGUUGGAUGUGAAAGCCCAGGGCUCAACCCUGGAAGUGCAUCCAAAACUGCAUGGCUUGAGUGCCGGAGGGGCUCAGAGAAUUCCCGGUGUAGAGGUGAAAUUCGUAGAUAUCGGGAGGAAUACCAGUGGCGAAGGCGCUGGGCUGGACGGUAACUGACGCUGAGGUGUGAAAGCGUGGGGAGCAAACAGGAUUAGAAACCCCAGUAGUCC